GAUAUUUAGUGAAAAUAAAACAGUCUGGAUUCAAAAGGUUGAAAUAGAUAUUCUCCAUAAGGCGUCAUGAUACAGAAAUAAAGAGAAAAACAUACAGUAUUUAUA
Gasterosteus aculeatus aculeatus (three-spined stickleback) is the source of this 105-nucleotide non-coding RNA. Lineage: Eukaryota; Metazoa; Chordata; Actinopteri; Perciformes; Gasterosteidae. The record is from RefSeq and is a predicted model, not a curated record.